Molecule: ribosomal RNA, 1193 nt
Rfam family: Eukaryotic large subunit ribosomal RNA (bases 637-1193)
GUAAAAGUCGUAACAAGGUUUCCGUAGGUGAACCUGCGGAAGGAUCAUUAUUGAAAUAAACCUGAUAAGUUGCUGCUGGUUCUCUAGGGAGCAUGUGCACACUUGUCAUCUUUGUAUCUUCACCUGUGCACCUUUUGUAGACCUAAAUAUCUCUCUGAAUGCUUUAGCAUUCAGGAUUGAGGAUUGACUUUCUGUCUCUUCCCACAUUUUUAGGUCUAUGUUUCUUCAUAUACCCUAAUGUAUGUCUAUAGAAUGUAAUUAAUGGGCCUUUGUGUCUAUAAAUUUAUACAACUUUCAGCAACGGAUCUCUUGGCUCUCGCAUCGAUGAAGAACGCAGCGAAAUGCGAUAAGUAAUGUGAAUUGCAGAAUUCAGUGAAUCAUCGAAUCUUUGAACGCACCUUGCGCUCCUUGGUAUUCCGAGGAGCAUGCCUGUUUGAGUGUCAUUAAUAUAUCAACCUCUUUGGUUGGAUGUGGGUUUGCUGGCCUUUUGAAGGUCAGCUCCUCUUAAAUGCAUUAGCUGACAAUAUUUUGCCAACUGUUCAUUGGUGUGAUAAUUAUCUACACUAUUGAUGUGAAGCAAAGGUUCAGCUUCUAACAGUCCAUUGACUUGGACAAAUUAAUUUUUUAUUAUUAAUGUGACCUCAAAUCAGGUAGGACUACCCGCUGAACUUAAGCAUAUCAAUAAGCGGAGGAAAAGAAACUAACAAGGAUUCCCCUAGUAACUGCGAGUGAAGCGGGAAAAGCUCAAAUUUAAAAUCUGGCGGUCUUUGGCUGUCCGAGUUGUAAUCUAGAGAAGCAUUAUCCGCGCUGGACCGUGUACAAGUCUCCUGGAAUGGAGCGUCAUAGAGGGUGAGAAUCCCGUCUUUGACACGGACUGCCAGGGCUUUGUGAUGUGCUCUCAAAGAGUCGAGUUGUUUGGGAAUGCAGCUCAAAAUGGGUGGUAAAUUCCAUCUAAAGCUAAAUAUUGGCGAGAGACCGAUAGCGAACAAGUACCGUGAGGGAAAGAUGAAAAGAACUUUGGAAAGAGAGUUAAACAGUACGUGAAAUUGCUGAAAGGGAAACGCUUGAAGUCAGUCGCGUUGUCCAGGAAUCAACUCUUGCUUUUGCUUGGUGUAUUUUCUGGUUAACGGGUCAGCAUCAGUUUUGACUAUUGGAAAAAGAUCAAGGGAAUGUGGCAUCUUCGGAUGUGUUAU